GGGAAGCAAAGCCGCGAGGUGGAGCAAACCCCCAAAAGCGGUCCCAGUUCGGAUUGUAGGCUGCAACCCGCCUACAUGAAGUUGGAAUUGCUAGUAAUCGCAGAUCAGAAUGCUGCGGUGAAUACGUUCCCGGGCCUUGUACACACCGCCCGUCACACCAUGGGAGCCGGUAAUACCCGAAGUCAGUAGCCUAACCGCAAGGGGGACGCUGCCGAAGGUAGGAUUGGCGACUGGGGUGAAGUCGUAACAAGGUACC
RNAcentral lists this ribosomal RNA (256 nucleotides) under uncultured bacterium. RNAcentral describes it as "partial 16S ribosomal RNA". It matches the Rfam family "Bacterial small subunit ribosomal RNA", at positions 1244 to 1500 of the family's 1533-position model. The record is from RNAcentral.